GCAACUCGGUUGGGUGACACUUUCGAGUUUUUUUCCAUUACUCAACAAGCCUCUGAUUUUGUUUGCAACCUCAAAUUAAAUACGAAAAAUUUAAACGACAGUAAAUAUGAAUUCCCAGAACGAAGAAAACUUGUUUGCAUCCAACCAGCAGGGCGAUAAUCGCAAUACACAAGAAGGUAUGUCAGCCAAUAUAUUUUCAAGUGUGUGUCCAUUUGGUAAUUAUAUGCAACUUGCAGUGGCCGGUGGAGAAGUGGCAUCGGACGGUACUCAACCGGCAGAGGCAGAGCCAGGCCCACAAAUUGCAGCGGAGGCAACUGCCGCAGGUGCCAUCAACAACACCGUUCCGUGUGUCCAGCAAAGACGCACUCGCACCCAGCAACAGACAUUUCGAUACACUGAAAACGAAUUGCGUCAGAUUAGACAGCAACUUUUCCGUCCGGUUCAAGAAGCUUACUUGACAGUGCGUUUCUGGUACUAGAGGAUGGAUUAAACUCAAUAUUGUUUAACCAUUUCUGAAUCUUCUUCUUUUUGAAUUUCUUCCUCGAGGCAUGUUGCUUCGACGACCCAGUGCUGUUAUUUCCACUAAAAGUGGCCACCAACGAAAGGGGCGAAGAGAAUAAGAUCUGCAAUUUGUGUUUCAUCCAUUUUCAUAGCAUUUUUAUAGCCUCGAUUUUUAAUUAAUUUGCUUCCCUCUCUACCCUCUCUCUCUCUCUCUCUCUCUCUCAUCCUCGUAGC
RNAcentral lists this long non-coding RNA (735 nucleotides) under Drosophila guanche. The record is from RNAcentral. Lineage: Eukaryota; Metazoa; Arthropoda; Insecta; Diptera; Drosophilidae.